Myotis lucifugus (little brown bat) is the source of this 107-nucleotide small nuclear RNA. The record is from Ensembl. Lineage: Eukaryota; Metazoa; Chordata; Mammalia; Chiroptera; Vespertilionidae.
AUUUGCAUAUUAGCCUUUUAUUAUAUAAGAUUGGAACGAUACAGAGAAGAUUAGCAUGGUCCCUGCGCAAGGAUGACACACAAAUUCAUGAAGCACUCCCCUCUCCC